UACAGAGGGUGCGAGCGUUAAUCGGAAUUACUGGGCGUAAAGCGCGCGUAGGCGGCUUUUCAAGUCGAUUGUGAAAUCCCCAGGCUCAACCUGGGAACUGCACUCGAAACUUCCGGUCUAGAGUGGUGGAGAGGGAAGUGGAAUUCCUGGUGUAGAGGUGAAAUUCGUAGAUAUCAGGAGGAACACCAGUGGCGAAGGCGGCUUCCUGGACACCAACUGACGCUGAGACGCGAAAGCGUGGGGAGCAAACAGG
This 253-nucleotide ribosomal RNA is filed under the name uncultured bacterium. RNAcentral describes it as "partial 16S ribosomal RNA". It matches the Rfam family "Bacterial small subunit ribosomal RNA", at positions 524 to 776 of the family's 1533-position model. The record is from RNAcentral.